Molecule: ribosomal RNA, 116 nt
Filed under: Pteropus alecto (black flying fox)
Lineage: Eukaryota; Metazoa; Chordata; Mammalia; Chiroptera; Pteropodidae
Source: RNAcentral
GUCUAUGGCCAUGCCACCCUGAACAAGCCUGAUGUCUGAUCUCGGAACCUAAGCAAGGUUGGACCUGGUUCGUACUUGGAUGGGAGACCACCUAGGAAGACCAGGUGCUGUAGGCA